RNAcentral lists this long non-coding RNA (821 nucleotides) under Medicago truncatula (barrel medic). RNAcentral's name for it is "lncRNA gene29267". The record is from RNAcentral. Lineage: Eukaryota; Viridiplantae; Streptophyta; Magnoliopsida; Fabales; Fabaceae.
UCUGGCUCUAUAUUGUUGUGUACUAAAUCUUUUUUGUAUUUUAUAUUAUUUUUGGGUUGAUAUUUUCUUUCAUGUUGAAUUUCUAUCACAUUUUCUUGUUGGUUUUCAACUUCGAAUCUGCUUUUUCCCCCGUUUAUCCGUGUGAUUGCCGGUUUGAAAUUUAAAUAAAAUAAAAACAUAGUUUUGAUCAUUAUAAAUUUAUAAUUGUACAUAUUUUCAAUUUAAUUUUCACAUGUAGCGUAAUGGGAAAGUCCAACCACGCAUGAGUAUUAUUAAAGUUUAUAAGGUGAAAUAUCUCCUUCUGACCUUGCACAGUUUUGACGUUGAUUACGGGAAUGUUGCUUAUCAAUGUGUUGAUAUAUUUUUGUGUCAAAAAAAAAAAGUGUUGAUAUAUUUAAUGCACAUGCAACAAAACUAUAUACGUAUUUAGGGGAACACUCGAAUUUUUUCAUCCAUGGAGUACAACAUGUAUUUGGGAUAAUUGAAAACAGUUUGAUCAAUGGAAGACUAUAACAAGUAAAACAAAACGAAUGGCUAUAAGAUGUGUCAGCAUUUUCCGUAACCUAUUGAUGCAACAUGUUCCCCAACUCAAACUACAUUUCUUUAUUUAUUUAUUUUUUUGGUCAAGACUCAAACUACAUUUCUAUACCUUCAUAAUCUUUUGCUACAUAAUCUUUAGAUAUAUAUCACGGUUCAUGACUAAUUAAACUUUAGGUUAAAUAUGUUUUUGGUCUCUAUAAAUAUGUCAAUUUUUCGUUUUAGUCCCUCUAAAAUUUUACUUCAACAUUUAGUCCCUAUAAAAUUUUCAAUCACUACUUUUG